Molecule: transfer RNA, 63 nt
Filed under: uncultured Bifidobacterium sp.
Lineage: Bacteria; Bacillati; Actinomycetota; Actinomycetes; Bifidobacteriales; Bifidobacteriaceae
Rfam family: tRNA
About the family: Transfer RNA (tRNA) molecules are approximately 80 nucleotides in length.
Source: RNAcentral
CUUUAGCUCAGUUGGUUAGAGCACCUGACUCUUAAUCAGGGUGUCCAGGGUUCGAGUCCCUGA